UACGGAGGGUGCGAGCGUUGUUCGGAAUCACUGGGCGUAAAGGGCGUGUAGGCGGUCCGCUAAGUCUGAUGUGAAAGCCCGGGGCUCACCCCCGGAAGGGCAUUGGAAACUGACGGACUCGAGUCCCGAAGAGGAGGGUGGAAUUCCUGGUGUAGCGGUGAAAUGCGUAGAUAUCAGGAGGAACACCGGUGGCGAAGGCGACCCUCUGGACGGUGACUGACGCUGAGACGCGAAAGCGUGGGGAGCAAACAGG
RNAcentral lists this ribosomal RNA (253 nucleotides) under uncultured bacterium. RNAcentral describes it as "partial 16S ribosomal RNA". It matches the Rfam family "Bacterial small subunit ribosomal RNA", at positions 524 to 776 of the family's 1533-position model. The record is from RNAcentral.